RNAcentral lists this ribosomal RNA (216 nucleotides) under Glomeromycotina sp. RNAcentral describes it as "partial small subunit ribosomal RNA". The stretch from base 40 to 216 matches the Rfam family "Eukaryotic small subunit ribosomal RNA", at positions 686 to 864 of the family's 1831-position model. The record is from RNAcentral. Lineage: Eukaryota; Fungi; Glomeromycota.
GGGACAGUAGGUUGGUCGUGCCACCGGUACGUACUGGUCUCACUGAUUCCUUCUUCCUGAAGAACCGUAAUGCCAUUAAUUUGGUGUUGCGGGGAAACAGGACUGUUACUUUGAAAAAAUUAGAGUGUUUAAAGCAAGCUAACGCUUGAAUACAUUAGCAUGGAUUAAUGAAAUAGGACGAUCGAUCCUAUUUUGUUGGUUUCUAGGAUUGACGUA